UACGUAGGGUGCGAGCGUUGUCCGGAAUUAUUGGGCGUAAAGAGCUCGUAGGCGGCCUGUCGCGUCGGAUGUGAAAGCCCGGGGCUUAACCCCGGGUCUGCAUUCGAUACGGGCAGGCUAGAGUGUGGUAGGGGAGAUCGGAAUUCCUGGUGUAGCGGUGAAAUGCGCAGAUAUCAGGAGGAACACCGGUGGCGAAGGCGGGGUCCUGGGCCAGUACUGACGCUGAGGAGCGAAAGCGUGGGGAGCAAACAGG
RNAcentral lists this ribosomal RNA (253 nucleotides) under uncultured bacterium. Its description in RNAcentral is "partial 16S ribosomal RNA". It matches the Rfam family "Bacterial small subunit ribosomal RNA", at positions 524 to 776 of the family's 1533-position model. The record is from RNAcentral.